This 357-nucleotide ribosomal RNA is filed under the name uncultured bacterium. Its description in RNAcentral is "partial 16S ribosomal RNA". It matches the Rfam family "Bacterial small subunit ribosomal RNA", at positions 338 to 709 of the family's 1533-position model. The record is from RNAcentral.
CCUACGGGUGGCAGCAGUGGGGAAUAUUGGGCAAUGGGCGCAACCCUGACCCAGCAACGCCGCGUGAAGGAAGAAGGCUUUCGGGUUGUAAACUUCUUUUCUCAGGGACGAAGCAAGUGACGGUAACUGAGUAAUAAGCCACGGCUAACUACGUGCCAGCCGCCGCGGUAAUACGUAGGUGGCAAGCGUUAUCCGGAAGUACUGGGAGUAAAGGGCGUGUAGGCGGGACUGCAAGUCAGAUGUGAAAACCACGGGCUCAACCUGUGGCCUGCAUUUGAAACUGUAGUUCUUGAGUACUGGAGAGGCAGAUGGAAUUCCUAGUGUAGCGGUGAAAUGCGUAGAGAUGAGGAGGAAUAC